UGCCAGCCGCCGCGGUAAUACGGACCGGACAAACGUUAUUCGGAAUCACUGGGCUUAAAGAGUACGUAGGCGGCCUUGCAAGUUGGGUGUGAAAUCCCUCGGCUCAACCGAGGAACUGCGCCCAAAACUGCAAGGCUUGAGGAAGGUAGGGGUGAGCGGAACUGAUGGUGGAGCGGUGAAAUGCGUUGAUAUCAUCAGGAACACCGGUGGCGAAGGCGGCUCACUGGAUCUCUUCUGACGCUGAGGCACGAAAGCUAGGGGAGCGAACGGGAUUAGAUA
This 279-nucleotide ribosomal RNA is filed under the name uncultured bacterium. RNAcentral describes it as "partial 16S ribosomal RNA". It matches the Rfam family "Bacterial small subunit ribosomal RNA", at positions 506 to 784 of the family's 1533-position model. The record is from RNAcentral.